GGAGUUAGCCGGUGCUUCUUCUGUGAGUGAUGUCCUUCCUGCCGGCUAUUAACCCGCAGGCCUUCUUCCUCACUGAAAGUGCUUUACAACCCGAAGGCCUUCUUCACACACGCGGCAUGGCUGGAUCAGGGUUGCCCCCAUUGUCCAAUAUUCCCCACUGCUGCCUCCCGUAGGAGUCUGGGCCGUGUCUCAGUCCCAGUGUGGCUGAUCAUCCUCUCAGACCAGCUACGGAUCGUCGCCUUGGUGAGCCGUUACCUCACCAACCAGCUAAUCCGACAUAGGCUCAUCCGAUAGCGCGAGGCCCGAAGGUCCCCCGNUUUCCCCCGUAGGGCGUAUGCGGUAUUAGCCUGGGUUUCCCCAGGUUAUCCCCCACUACCGGGCAGAUUCCUAUGCAUUACUCACCCGUCCGCCGCUCGCCACCAGGGAGCAAGCUCCCCGUGCUGCCGCUCGACUUGCAUGNGUUAGGCCUGCCGCCAGCGUUCAAUCUGAGCCAGGAUCAAAACUCUGA
RNAcentral lists this ribosomal RNA (508 nucleotides) under uncultured bacterium. Its description in RNAcentral is "partial 16S ribosomal RNA". The record is from RNAcentral.